AGUUAUAAACUCAAGCUGAUAUAGAGACAGUAUAGCAGACUGGUGAACCUAUAUAUUUAUAUAGCUUCACUUGGAUACCAAACUUUCUCAAGUGUGAUAAACUGAUAUAGGAGAGAAAGUUGGUGGUCCAGGUGAAGUGUUCUCAUUGAAGGGUUUUCAUUAUGCCACAGUCUGGUUUACAUUAUGCCACAGUCUGGUUUUCAUUAUGCCACAGUCUGGUUUUCAUUAUGCCACAGUCUGGUUUUCAUUAUGCCUCAGUCUGGUUUUCAUUAUGCCUCAGUCUGGUUUUCAUUAUGCCACAGUCUGGUUUUCAUUAUGCCUCAGUCUGGUUUUCAUUAUGCCACAGUCUGGUUUUCAUUAUGCCACAGUCUGGUUUCAUUAUGCCACAGUCUGGUUUUCAUUAUGCCACAGUCUGGUUUUCAUUAUGCCUCAGUCUGGUUUUCAUUAUGCCUCAGUCUGGUUUUCAUUAUGCCACAGUCUGGUUUUCAUUAUGCCACAGUCUGGUUUUCAUUAUGCCACAGUCUGGUUUUUACUCUUUUAUUUUACCAAGACUCUCACGUGAUUUCUGAUCAGUAAAGAAUUUUCAGAAAUUAACCCUGAUGAUUAUGUAAGAAAACUACCAUUGUAAGAUAUAAGAAUUAGUUGUGAACCUUAAACUUGGAAAUUGUUGGCAGGUGUAGACUGUGAAGCCGUCAUGCUUAGUGUUAAUAAAGGAAUUCUUGAGUUAUAUUUUACACGGCGUCAUAAACCAGAUUAUAGCGCACCAGUAGUGUCGUUAAGGAUACGUACUCAACAUUGGCAGUGUUCAAGCCAGUCUGCAUUCCAGGUCCUGAUUCUGUUGCUACUGUGAUCGCUAUUUCUGAUUUCUGGACCUGUCAAUCUUAUCAUACAUACUCCUGAA
Molecule: long non-coding RNA, 901 nt
Organism: Cherax quadricarinatus
Lineage: Eukaryota; Metazoa; Arthropoda; Malacostraca; Decapoda; Parastacidae
Source: RefSeq, a predicted model, not a curated record